AAAAGUCGUAACAAGGUUUCCGUAGGUGAACCUGCGGAAGGACAUUAUCGAGCGAAUCCAAAACGAACGAAAAAGUCUCCCAACGUGCAUACCUUCCAUUUGCAUGUUGUUGUGAGCCACAUGGAAACUCGUACACACGUGGUGGCAGCCGUCUGCUGUGCUUUUUUUAGGCAGACAAUGGCUUACGAGUGGCCGUGUGCUUGUUGAACAACGGUGACCAAUUUGGCGUCUACGCCGUAUCUAGCUUCUGCCUGGACCGUCAGUUGCGAUGAAAGAUGCGGAGAAAGUUCCUUUGUUUUGGCUGCUAAUCAUCAUUGAUGAGCAGUAGCUUAAGGCAGAGUUGAGCAGACUUAAUGAGCCACGCUAGGUGGCCGCCAAAACCCAAAACACAACCGGUCUAUUUGACAUUGUUAUUUCAUUGUAUGUGUUGAAAAUGUACAAAUCUUGGCGGUGGAUCACUCGGUUCGUGGAUCGAUGAAGAACGCAGCCAGCUGCGAUAAAUAGUGCGAAUUGCAGACACAUUGAGCACUAAGAAUUCGAACGCACAUUGCGCUAUCGGGUUCAUUCCCGAUGGCACGUCUGGCUGAGGGUCGAAUUACGGUGAACUGUCUUCACGGUUUUUCUGGACUGUGAAGCAUUCGGCAAGCAAUUGCUGUUGUGUUGUUGGUGAUUCUAUCAUGGACAAUAUGACGAGCGGUUCCUUGCUUAGUGAUGACAAAAGAAGACGUCAACACCGAAUCUACUAUACUACUAAUACUAGUAUAUAGGUGAGGUGCUUUUGGUGGUCACAAAAGUGACAAGUAUGCCAUUUCAUAGGGGCAACAACCAGCAUACGUGAUAAGUUGGCUGGUUGAUGAAACGGCAACGGAAUGACGGACGGCUAUGUGAUCAAAAAUGAUACUAUUUGACCUCAGCUCAGUCGUGAUUACCCGCUGAAUUUAAGCAUAUAAUUAAGCGGAGGAAAGAAACUAAA
Molecule: ribosomal RNA, 973 nt
Filed under: Anisakis simplex (herring worm)
Lineage: Eukaryota; Metazoa; Nematoda; Chromadorea; Rhabditida; Anisakidae
Description: eukaryotic LSU rRNA
Rfam family: 5.8S ribosomal RNA (bases 440-593)
Source: RNAcentral